Molecule: long non-coding RNA, 240 nt
Organism: Rattus rattus (black rat)
Lineage: Eukaryota; Metazoa; Chordata; Mammalia; Rodentia; Muridae
Exons: 3
Source: RefSeq, a predicted model, not a curated record
UCGAUGCCAGUAAAGUGGACACACUUCUGGGAAGCCUGGGGCUAAAUCUCACUCAAAAGGAGUUUGACGAUCUCAAAAGAAACCUGAAACUUGAUGAAAACCAGAAAGCGGAUAUCAAAAGGGUAAUAAGCGAAGCCAAACUCUUCACAGGCCAGAAAGUUGAUGCCAACAAACUUCAAGACAUUCUGAGAAGCUAUGGCAUUAACCUCAAUCCUAACGAAAUAGAAAACUUGAAAAAGA